This 266-nucleotide long non-coding RNA is filed under the name Ricinus communis (castor bean). Its description in RNAcentral is "long non-coding RNA (RCOM_LNC000106)". Lineage: Eukaryota; Viridiplantae; Streptophyta; Magnoliopsida; Malpighiales; Euphorbiaceae. The record is from RNAcentral.
UAAGUUAACGCGCUGAUUCAAACAGGAAUCUAGCCGGCUGGUUGGUUGGAUCACUAGUGCUACUGAUAAACCCUCAUUUAAAUUCUAAUAGAACCCAUCUCACAAAAAUUUUCAGAUAAUUUGUACAGUCAGUCUUUUGUAACUCUUUUGUUUUUUCUUUCACAAUCUUCCAUAAGACAUCUUGCCCAGGAAUCGCAGGACCAGACCAGAUUGGCAGAACUACCAAAAGAAAAAGUCCCCAAACCCUAAGAAAAGAAGAAGAUAGA